CUUGGACCCCCAAACCGGCUUGCUGUUGAUAACGUCUUGCAUGUUGAUACGCCUAAUGCGGACUUGACCCCCAGUAGGGUCUGCAGAUUGCAUACAGAUUACGUUCGGGUCUUAGUCAAAGUGUCCCAAGCUUCGUCUUGGAAGACGCCCACCUUGUUAAGCGCAAGCUAGUAACAGCCCGACGACCGUUUGUUAUCUCUUCCAGAAUGGCAUCCGAUGGUGCCCUGGAUGUGGAUGUGCAUGGGCCGGACAAGGUAAGAACGGGGUUGGAGUGCGUCUGACUGAAGAACUGGCAGGGUGCACCAAUGGUGCACUCUUCUCACAUUUACACCAAGUCGCGUUCCAUGCCUGUUCUAUGCCCAAUGGUGUUAACCUUCUGCAGAAGCGUCAAAAGCUGGCAAAAUCGGCGGGGUUGGGCUUCGCCAGGGACAUGGCCGAAGUCCUCGUGGAAACGCUUGGGAUGGACCCCAUCGGGCAAUCGACCGAUGCCGCCAUCGCCAAAACAUUGUCUGAAGAAGGCUUGGUGGACUUGGCGUCAGUGAAGACCGUGGCUGGCGGUAAGAACCACUUCAGCCUAAAUUG
Molecule: long non-coding RNA, 582 nt
Filed under: Volvox carteri
Lineage: Eukaryota; Viridiplantae; Chlorophyta; Chlorophyceae; Chlamydomonadales; Volvocaceae
Description: long non-coding RNA (VCAR_LNC003346)
Source: RNAcentral